ACAACAUGGAUACCCUAGGAGGUCACUUUACCCAGUCUCUGUCCAAGUGGCAUAGGGAAGCAUAGGGCUCUGCCCCAUGAUAGAACUUUGUAGAAUGAACAACAUUGCUUGUAAUAAGAUACCAAAAAGGCCCAAUCUAACAAUC
This 145-nucleotide small nucleolar RNA is filed under the name Propithecus coquereli (Coquerel's sifaka). RNAcentral describes it as "Small nucleolar RNA SNORA73 family (ENSPCOG00000010199.1)". Lineage: Eukaryota; Metazoa; Chordata; Mammalia; Primates; Indriidae. The record is from RNAcentral.